This 73-nucleotide transfer RNA is filed under the name Candidatus Parabeggiatoa sp. HSG14. RNAcentral describes it as "tRNA-Ala". It matches the Rfam family "tRNA". From Rfam's summary of the family: Transfer RNA (tRNA) molecules are approximately 80 nucleotides in length. RNAcentral also lists the same sequence under 1 other name. The record is from RNAcentral. Lineage: Bacteria; Pseudomonadati; Pseudomonadota; Gammaproteobacteria; Thiotrichales; Thiotrichaceae.
GGGGCUAUAGCUCAGUUGGGAGAGUGCUACAAUGGCAUUGUAGAGGUCGGCGGUUCGAUCCCGCCUAGCUCCA